RNAcentral lists this ribosomal RNA (468 nucleotides) under uncultured bacterium. RNAcentral's name for it is "partial 16S ribosomal RNA". It matches the Rfam family "Bacterial small subunit ribosomal RNA", at positions 28 to 507 of the family's 1533-position model. The record is from RNAcentral.
GACGAACGCUGGCGGCGUGCUUAACACAUGCAAGUCGAACGGAAAGGCCCUGCUUUUGUGGGGUGCUCGAGUGGCGAACGGGUGAGUAACACGUGAGUAACCUGCCCUUGACUUUGGGAUAACUUCAGGAAACUGGGGCUAAUACCGGAUAGGAGCUCCUGCUGCAUGGUGGGGGUUGGAAAGUUUCGGCGGUUGGGGAUGGACUCGCGGCUUAUCAGCUUGUUGGUGGGGUAGUGGCUUACCAAGGCUUUGACGGGUAGCCGGCCUGAGAGGGUGACCGGCCACAGUGGGACUGAGAUACGGCCCAGACUCCUACGGGAGGCAGCAGUGGGGAAUAUUGCACAAUGGGCGGAAGCCUGAUGCAGCAACGCCGCGUGCGGGAUUACGGCCUUCGGGUUGUAAACCGCUUUCGCCUGUGACGAAGCGUGAGUGACGGUAAUGGGUAAAGAAGCACCGGCUAACUACGUG